UUUCGAAUCAUUCACAAUGGGCGAAAGCCUGAUGGUGCGACGCCGCGUGAGGGAUGAAGGCCUCUGGGCUGUAAACCUCUUUUCUCAAGGAAGAAGAUCUGACGGUACUUGAGGAAUAAGCCACGGCUAAUUCCGUGCCAGCAGCCGCGGUAAUACGGGAGUGGCAAGCGUUGUCCGGAAUUAUUGGGCGUAAAGAGCUCGUAGGUGGUUCGAUACGUCGGAUGUGAAAAUCAGGGGCUCAACCCCUGACCUGCAUCCGAUACGGUCGAGCUAGAGUUUGGUAGGGGAGACUGGAAUUCCUGGUGUAGCGGUGAAAUGCGUAGAUAUCGGGAAGAACACCAGUGGCGAAGGCGCUCUGCUGGGCCAUAACUGACGCUCAUGGACGAAAGCCAGGGGAGCG
This 400-nucleotide ribosomal RNA is filed under the name uncultured bacterium. Its description in RNAcentral is "bacterial SSU rRNA". It matches the Rfam family "Bacterial small subunit ribosomal RNA", at positions 355 to 770 of the family's 1533-position model. The record is from RNAcentral.